This is a long non-coding RNA of Oncorhynchus tshawytscha (Chinook salmon), 839 nucleotides long. RefSeq lists it as uncharacterized. The transcript is spliced from 2 exons. The record is from RefSeq and is a predicted model, not a curated record. Lineage: Eukaryota; Metazoa; Chordata; Actinopteri; Salmoniformes; Salmonidae.
GUUGUAUAUCCUGUGUGCGGUGUUAUCAUGAAGCCUUAAAGCCUGCAUAAACCAAAUCAAAGGAAAUGCUUUAACAGAUCAGAGGGUGGGGAAGUCCCUUUUUAUCUUGGUGACACCGCUUUUCACCUCCAUUGGUGACUUACUGGGGGCCGGUGCUCCUGUUGCACCCUGGGAUACCAGACGAUGGAGGAUGCCUCUAGCCCAGGUACCCUGGCAACCGUUCAUGGAGCCUACAGCUCCACUCUCCAAACCUCCACCCCCUCAACCCUCCAUCCCUUCACCCAGCGUCCCCAGUCCAGGGCUCUGGCCACACAUAAACCCCAGACAGGCCUCUGAUGGAUGGGGCUGGAGAGAGAAGAGAAGCCCUUGAUGUUGGAAAUAAAUCUGACAGGCCCUACUGGAAGGGGCCUAAUCUUUCCCAGACUAAGGAUUUUUCAUUUUCUUAUUUUUUUUUUAUAUCCUUCUCUCUCUUUAUUUCCACCCCCACUCUCUUCUCUUCAUCCAUGUCUACAGAGAUAAUGCUGUAAUUUACAGCCAAGCAUUAUGGAAGAUGAAUGAUAGUUGCUUUUAGACUUAAUACACAUUAGCCUUUAACAAAUAAUAGCCUACUGGUAAGAGGAAAACAAAGAAAUACCUUCAAAAGGAAUUCGUUAUUUGGUCAUAUUCUUCCCCUAAUGUUCUAGUUAUAUAAUUCCUGUUCUUUCAUAAGAUUCAAAGUUGCUACUGAUCAAAGUACACUGAUCAAUCUUCUUUUCAAAGGUACCUUGUUUUUAUUUUUCAUAUUCAUGGAUAAAGUAUGGUUGAGAAUAGACAAUAAAGCAAUGCUUUUCCCAUUUUGA